GCUGGAGGUAUCCUGCUGCCCCCUGCCCUGUCCUGGAGCUGCCCUUGGCCUCCUGUGCCCUCUACCGGUGCACGCCUGUGUGGGCCCAGCCCCCAUCUGUCUGGUCUGGCCCUGAGAGGCUCGGGCACCAGCUGCAUCAUUUCUCUUUCUUCUCCAGCCCCUUCGAUGCUGAUGCCUCUGUUCCCUCUUUGGAUUCUGUCACUGCCGCUGGAUCCUUAGGAUUUGACUCCUC
RNAcentral lists this long non-coding RNA (232 nucleotides) under Homo sapiens (human). RNAcentral describes it as "lncAB355.1". The record is from RNAcentral. Lineage: Eukaryota; Metazoa; Chordata; Mammalia; Primates; Hominidae.